GGCUGCGUUACCACCGACCAGUCCUCAGCCGGCAACAUGAAGCUGGGUGGCCUCUGCCUCCUGCUCCUCCUCGCCGUCCUUCUCACCCUCAAUGCAGAGUUCCAAGCAGUUGAUGUAGGUAUCUGUGUGACGGAGUGCAAGGUAGACCAGGACUGUGGGGCAGGAAGACGAUGCACCAGCAAUGGAUGUGGCCGGGUCUGCUCCCCAGUCCGGCGAAGAGAGGCCUGCGAGCACCAGUGCAGAGAAGACAGGGACUGUGGGAGUGGACAUCAGUGCGUGAGGAAGGGCUGUGGGCACGUCUGCGCCCCCGUCCAUCAAGUCGAUGUAGGUAUCUGUGUGACGGAGUGCAAGGUAGACCAGGACUGUGGGGAAGGAAGACUAUGCAUCAGUAAUGGGUGUGGCCGUGUCUGCUUCCCAGGGCGAAGAGAGGCCUGCGAGCACCAGUGCAGAGAAGACAGGGACUGUGGGAGUGGACAUCAGUGCGUGAGGAAGGGCUGUGGGCACGUCUGCGCCCCCGUCCAUCAAGUCGGUAUCUGUGUGACGGAGUGCAACGUAGACCAGGACUGUGGGGAAGGAAGACAAUGCACCAGCAAUGGGUGUGGCCGUGUCUGCUCCCCAGUCCAGCAAGAAGAUGUAGGUAUCUGUGUGACGGAGUGCAAGGUAGACCAGGACUGUGGGGAAGGAAGACGAUGCACCAGCAAUGGGUGUGGCCGUGUCUGCUCCCCAGUCCAGCAAAAAGAGGCCUGCGAGCACCAGUGCAGAGAAGACAGGGACUGUGGGAGUGGACAUCAGUGCGUGAGGAAGGGCUGUGGGCACGUCUGCGCCCCCGUCCAUCAAGUCGAUGUAGGUAUCUGUGUGACGGAGUGCCGUGUAGACCAGGACUGUGGGGAAGGAAGACAAUGCACCAGCAAUGGAUGUGGCCGUGUCUGCUCCCCAGCCCAGCAAAGAGAGGCCUGCGAGCACCAAUGCAGAGAAGACAAGGACUGUGGGAGUGGACAUCAGUGCGUGAGGAAGGGCUGUGGGCACGUCUGCUCCCCCAUCCCUCAAGUAGGUAUCUGUGUGACGGAGUGCAAUGUAGACCAGGACUGUGGGGCAGGAAGACGAUGCACCAGCAAUGGAUGUGGCCGUGUCUGCUCCCCACCCCAGGGAGGAGGACUCUGUGUGGACCGCUGCCGAGGAAACUGGGACUGUGGGGCCGGAGAAGAAUGUAUCAGGAAGGGAUGUGGACGGGUCUGCUCUCCAGCCCAGGAGCCAGUGGUAGGUAUCUGUGUGGAUCAGUGCCAAAGACACUGGGAAUGUGGUCCACGGAUGCGGUGUGUCUCCACUGGAUGUGGCCACAUCUGCUCACCAGCCCAAGACCAAGGUAAGAGGUGCAAGCCUUGCCUUCCAAGCCCCUGACUGACUGAAUGCUUGGCUCUG
This 1419-nucleotide long non-coding RNA is filed under the name Sus scrofa (pig). Its description in RNAcentral is "lncRNA (ENSSSCG00025021240.1)". Lineage: Eukaryota; Metazoa; Chordata; Mammalia; Artiodactyla; Suidae. The record is from RNAcentral.